RNAcentral lists this ribosomal RNA (757 nucleotides) under uncultured Streptococcus sp. RNAcentral describes it as "bacterial SSU rRNA". It matches the Rfam family "Bacterial small subunit ribosomal RNA", at positions 88 to 833 of the family's 1533-position model. Lineage: Bacteria; Bacillati; Bacillota; Bacilli; Lactobacillales; Streptococcaceae. The record is from RNAcentral.
CGGAUGAGUUGCGAACGGGUGAGUAACGCGUAGGUAACCUGCCUGGUAGCGGGGGAUAACUAUUGGAAACGAUAGCUAAUACCGCAUAAGAGUAGAUGUUGCAUGACAUUUGCUUAAAAGGUGCAAUUGCACCACUACCAGAUGGACCUGCGUUGUAUUAGCUAGUUGGUGGGGUAACGGCUCACCAAGGCGACGAUACAUAGCCGACCUGAGAGGGUGAUCGGCCACACUGGGACUGAAACACGGCCCAGACUCCUACGGGAGGCAGCAGUAGGGAAUCUUCGGCAAUGGACGGAAGUCUGACCGAGCAACGCCGCGUGAGUGAAGAAGGUUUUCGGAUCGUAAAGCUCUGUUGUAAGAGAAGAACGAGUGUGAGAGUGGAAAGUUCACACUGUGACGGUAUCUUACCAGAAAGGGACGGCUAACUACGCGCCAGCAGCCGCGGUAAUACGUAAGUCCCGAGCGUUGUCCGGAUUUAUUGGGCGUAAAGCGAGCGCAGGCGGUUAGAUAAGUCUGAAGUUAAAGGCUGUGGCUUAACCAUAGUACGCUUUGGAAACUGUUCAACUUGAGUGCAAGAGGGGAGAGUGGAAUUCCAUGUGUAGCGGUGAAAUGCGUAGAUAUAUGGAGGAACACCGGUGGCGAAAGCGGCUCUCUGGCUUGUAACUGACGCUGAGGCUCGAAAGCGUGGGGAGCAAACAGGAUUAGAUACCCUGGUAGUCCACGCCGUAAACGAUGAGUGCUAGGUGUCAGACCCUUU